This 457-nucleotide ribosomal RNA is filed under the name uncultured bacterium. RNAcentral describes it as "partial 16S ribosomal RNA". It matches the Rfam family "Bacterial small subunit ribosomal RNA", at positions 338 to 795 of the family's 1533-position model. The record is from RNAcentral.
CCUAGGGCGGCAGCAGUGAGGAAUAUUGGUCAAUGGGCGAGAGCCUGAACCAGCCAAGUCGCGUGAGGGAGUACUGCCCUAUGGGUUGUAAACCUCUUUUGUCGGGGAGCAAAAGCCGGACGUGUCCGGCUGUGAGAGUACCCGAAGAAAAAGCAUCGGCUAACUCCGUGCCAGCAGCCGCGGUAAUACGGAGGAUGCGAGCGUUAUCCGGAUUUAUUGGGUUUAAAGGGUGCGCAGGCGGAUUUUUAAGUCAGCGGUCAAAUCGUGGGGCUCAACCCCAUCCAGCCGUUGAAACUGGGGAUCUAGAGUGUGCGAGAGGUAUGCGGAAUGCGUGGUGUAGCGGUGAAAUGCUUAGAUAUCACGAAGAACCCCGAUUGCGAAGGCAGCUUACUAAACUGUGACUGACAUUGAUGCUCGAAAGUGUGGGUAUCAAACAGGAUUAGAUACCCGAGUAGUC